This is a long non-coding RNA of Nematostella vectensis (starlet sea anemone), 1098 nucleotides long. RefSeq lists it as uncharacterized. Lineage: Eukaryota; Metazoa; Cnidaria; Anthozoa; Actiniaria; Edwardsiidae. The transcript has 3 exons. The record is from RefSeq and is a predicted model, not a curated record.
UCGAAAUAAGUGGCAAUGUUUACGGCAUGUACGGAUACAAGAGAUUUUGACGCGGACGACUAAUAACCAAAGCAAGGACAAUAGGACUUCGACAACAACACAUCCUCACGAAAAACAUCUUAAGAAAUAUUUUUAGCCAAUAACGGUGAGAUGGAACAAAAGCGUUUUUAAUCACCACAGUGGAAGCAUUCCUCACAUACGUUUCUACUUUGUCCAAGAGUUGUUUUAUGGAGUGCUAAAUCAACCUUCAAAAGAGAUUUACUGUACCCGGAUGUCUUCCAAGCUCCGAGUUUAAGGAUGACCGCGGAAGAAUGGGUCGAGUGGACCACAACGACGACAACAACACAUCCUCACGAAAAACAUCUUAAGAAAUAUUUUUAGCCAAUAACGGUGAGAUGGAACAAAAGCGUUUUUAAUCACCACAGUGGAAGCAUUCCUCACAUACGUUUCUACUUUGUCCAAGAGUUGUUUUAUGGAGUGCUAAAUCAACCUUCAAAAGAGAUUUACUGUACCCGGAUGUCUUCCAAGCUCCGAGUUUAAGGAUGACCGCGGAAGAAUGGGUCGAGUGGACCAAAAUUCACCGGAAGCCGAUCGUUCCUUAUACAAACCUCUGUAUUUUUCGACUAAUAUUGGUGUAUAAAUUCGCUCCAAAAAGUAUUUUUUUUGCGUGGGUAUUGACAAAAACGGAAUGCGACAUAAAGGUAGAAUUCGUUAAAGCGGUGGCUCUUUAAUGAUAAUUAUACAAAAAUUGCCUCAAAGGCGAGCAAUGAUAAAACCGUCGAUUAAAACCCCUCUUCUACGAUCGCCAUGUUUACAACACUCUAUGCCCUUUCUUUAGUCAAAACUUUUAAAGGUGUUCAUGUAUGCUUUACAAUACAAACUUUUCGUCUCAGUGUGAUCAGAUGUGGGUCUUAUUCUCUUUUAUGCGAAGAAAUAGUGUCGAUAAAACAUGGAAUAAGCUGCAAACAGUACAGCAAAAUACAGUCUUGUAGUCGCUUGGUCAAUGACGCGAUAAGCCCAAGUUAUUGCUUGUUUAUCAUUGCUGGCCGCUAAAGCAAUGUUAGCGGAGCUUCCACGAAGGGAAGCGAAGCCCCAUAC